CCUACGGGGGGCAGCAGUGGGGAAUAUUGGACAAUGGGCGAAAGCCUGAUCCAGCCAUGCCGCGUGUGUGAAGAAGGUCUUCGGAUUGUAAAGCACUUUAAGUUGGGAGGAAGGGUUGUAGUUUAAUACGCUACAACUUUGACGUUACCAACAGAAUAAGCACCGGCUAACUCUGUGCCAGCAGCCGCGGUAAUACAGAGGGUGCAAGCGUUAAUCGGAAUUACUGGGCGUAAAGCGCGCGUAGGCGGCUUGAUAAGAUGGGUGUGAAAUCCCCGGGCUUAACCUGGGAACUGCAUCCAUAACUGUCUGGCUAGAGUACAGUAGAGGGUGGUGGAAUUUCCUGUGUAGCGGUGAAAUGCGUAGAUAUAGGAAGGAACACCAGUGGCGAAGGCGACCACCUGGACUGAUACUGACGCUGAGGUGCGAAAGCGUGGGGAGCAAACAGGAUUAGAUACCCCCGUAGUC
Molecule: ribosomal RNA, 465 nt
Filed under: uncultured bacterium
Lineage: Bacteria
Description: bacterial SSU rRNA
Rfam family: Bacterial small subunit ribosomal RNA
Source: RNAcentral